GAUGAACGCUGGCGGCGUGCCUAAUACAUGCCAGUCGAGCGAACAGAUGAGGAGCUUGCUCCUCUGACGUUAGCGGCGGACGGGUGAGUAACACGUGGAUAACCUACCUAUAAGACUGGGAUAACUUCGGGAAACCGGAGCUAAUACCGGAUAAUAUAUUGAACCGCAUGGUUCAAUAGUGAAAGACGGUUUUGCUGUCACUUAUAGAUGGAUCCGCGCCGCAUUAGCUAGUUGGUAAGGUAACGGCUUACCAAGGCAACGAUGCGUAGCCGACCUGAGAGGGUGAUCGGCCACACUGGAACUGAGACACGGUCCAGACUCCUACGGGAGGCAGCAGUAGGGAAUCUUCCGCAAUGGGCGAAAGCCUGACGGAGCAACGCCGCGUGAGUGAUGAAGGUCUUCGGAUCGUAAAACUCUGUUAUUAGGGAAGAACAAAAGUGUAAGUAACUAUGCACGUCUUGACGGUACCUAAUGAGAAAGCAACGGCUAACUACGUG
RNAcentral lists this ribosomal RNA (497 nucleotides) under uncultured bacterium. RNAcentral describes it as "partial 16S ribosomal RNA". It matches the Rfam family "Bacterial small subunit ribosomal RNA", at positions 28 to 507 of the family's 1533-position model. The record is from RNAcentral.